GAGCUAAUACAUGCGAACACACUCCGACCUUCGGGGAAGAGCGCUUUUAUUAGAUCAAAACCAAUCGGGUCGCAAGGCCCGUCUCUUUGGUGACUCUGGAUAACUUUGGGCUGAUCGCAUGGCCUCGAGCCGGCGACGUAUCUUUCAAAUGUCUGCCCUAUCAAGUUUCGAAGGUACGUGAUAUGCCUACCUUGCUUGUAACGGGUAACGGGGAAUCAGGGUUCGAUUCCGGAGAGGGAGCAUUAGAAACGGCUACCACAUCCAAGGAAGGCAGCAGGCGCGCAAAUUACCCACUCCUGGCACGGGGAGGUAGUGACGAAAAAUAACAAUACAAGACUCAUCCGAGGCCUUGUAAUUGGAAUGAGUAUACUUUAAAACCGUUCCCGAGGAUCUAUUGGAGGGCAAGUCUGGUGCCAGCAGCCGCGGUAAUUCCAGCUCCAAUAGCGUAUAUUAAAGUUGUUGUGGUUAAAAAGCUCGUAGUUGGAUUUCGGCAGUCAUUGGUCGGUUUGAAUCGCUUCAACACUGACUUUUUUGACUGUGUGUUUUGCCAGAAUUCAGCGGGUGACCUUAACCGUUUGUCCGUUGGGGCUGGCAGGUUUACUUUGAAAAAAUUAGAGUGCUCAAAGCAAGCUUCAUUGCUUGAAUAUUUCGUGCAUGGAAUAAUAGAAUAGGAAGUCGUUUCUAUUUUGUUGGUUUUCGGAAAUGGACUUAAUGAUUAAUAGGGAUAGUCGGGGGCAUUUGUAUUCAAACGACAGAGGUGAAAUUCUUGGACCGUUUGAAGACUGACUACA
This 791-nucleotide ribosomal RNA is filed under the name uncultured marine eukaryote. RNAcentral describes it as "SSU rRNA". It matches the Rfam family "Eukaryotic small subunit ribosomal RNA", at positions 161 to 944 of the family's 1831-position model. The record is from RNAcentral.